RNAcentral lists this ribosomal RNA (474 nucleotides) under uncultured bacterium. RNAcentral describes it as "bacterial SSU rRNA". It matches the Rfam family "Bacterial small subunit ribosomal RNA", at positions 28 to 526 of the family's 1533-position model. The record is from RNAcentral.
GACGAACGCUGGCGGCGUGCCUAACACAUGCAAGUCGAACGAGAGUAGCAAUACUCUAGUGGCGGACGGGUGAGUAACACGUGGGUAACCAACCUUGAUGAGGGGAAUAGCCUUCCGAAAGGAAGAAUAAAACCGCAUAAAAUUAAAUCAUCGCAUGAUGAAUUAAUAAAAAGAGCAAUCUGCAUCAAGUCGGGCCCGCGUCGCAUUAGCUAGUUGGUAAGGUAAAGGCUUACCAAGGCAACGAUGCGUAGCCGAUCUGAGAGGAUGAACGGCCACAUUGGAACUGAGAAACGGUCCAGACUCCUACGGGAGGCAGCAGUGGGGAAUAUUGCACAAUGGGGGAAACCCUGAUGCAGCGACGCCGCGUGAGUGAAGAAGGCCUUCGGGUCGUAAAGCUCUGUCAUUUGGGAAGAAAAAAGACGGUACCAAAUGAGGAAGCCACGGCUAACUACGUGCCAGCAGCCGCAGUAACAC